UUGUGUUGAUAAAGCUUUAUUUAUAAACACAAGCACAGGGCCAGGUUUGGGCCACGGGCCGUAGUUGCCAGCUCAGCUUUAACUGCUGGUCCUCACGUUAGUCUCACUGCCUCCUGCAGGGUGGGCACACGGGUGUCGUGUUCACGCAGCCCCUUCCUCCACCCCGCAGACACGCUGGUGGCUGUCCUGGAGCGCGACACACUGGGCAUCCGUGAGGUGCGGCUGUUCAAUGCCGUUGUCCGCUGGUCCGAGGCCGAGUGUCAGCGGCAGCAGCUGCAGGUGACGCCAGAGAACAGGCGGAAGGUUCUGGGCAAGGCCCUGGGCCUCAUUCGCUUCCCACUCAUGACCAUCGAGGAGUUCGCUGCAGGUAACAGAGCUCAGGGGCCCAGGGGCUGGCUUGGGAGGGGAGUGGCACACAGGUGGGCAUCUGGGUACCGAGGAUAGUGCCCCCGAGUUCACUGCGGAAAGCCUGGCAGAUACCUGGAGCGUAAAAAGAUGGGAAGAAACCUGGCUUGUGAGGGCGCAUCCACAGGGCCAUCUGUUAGCCCCGGCCCUGCUCUGUCCCCACUGUGCGCAUUGCCAGACCCCGCCUCUCGUGUCUGUCCAGCUGUUUCGGUGGCAUCUCCCCAGGAGGGAAGGGAGUCCCCGUCUCGGGCUCUUGUGCUACCUGCUGGUGCAGGUAUCAGUGUCCGUGAUGAGCCCAGGAAGGCUCUGACAUGGCCGGGGUGGCUGUCAUGCGCCCAUGAGUGGGCCUUGGGGUCCCCUGCUGCAGGGCCUGGGCUGUGGGGUGACGUGAGGGGCAGCCGUAACGAUGCCUCCUGCCCUCAUGUGGCUGCUCACUUCCUGACGCCGUCCAACUCUGGAGCAAAACAGGCCUGGAACUUUCCAGAAGGGGCUGGGACAGAGCCCUGUGGCUGGUGCACACUUGUCGUCUGGCCUUCCCCAGGUCCACGCGGCC
Molecule: small RNA, 958 nt
Filed under: Pongo abelii (Sumatran orangutan)
Lineage: Eukaryota; Metazoa; Chordata; Mammalia; Primates; Hominidae
Description: retained intron
Source: RNAcentral